UACGUAGGGGGCAAGCGUUGUCCGGAUUUACUGGGCGUAAAGAGCGCGCAGGCGGUCGUACAAGUCGCGUGUGAAAGCCCCUGGCUCAACUGGGGAGGGUCACGCGAUACUGUUCGACUCGAAGGCAGGAGAGGGAAGUGGAAUUCCCGGUGUAGUGGUGAAAUGCGUAGAUAUCGGGAGGAACACCAGUGGCGAAGGCGACUUCCUGGCCUGUUCUUGACGCUGAGGCGCGAAAGCUAGGGUAGCAAACGGG
RNAcentral lists this ribosomal RNA (253 nucleotides) under uncultured bacterium. Its description in RNAcentral is "partial 16S ribosomal RNA". It matches the Rfam family "Bacterial small subunit ribosomal RNA", at positions 524 to 776 of the family's 1533-position model. The record is from RNAcentral.